Molecule: transfer RNA, 72 nt
Filed under: Leucosporidium creatinivorum
Lineage: Eukaryota; Fungi; Basidiomycota; Microbotryomycetes; Leucosporidiales; Leucosporidiaceae
Description: Leucosporidiella creatinivora tRNA
Rfam family: tRNA
About the family: Transfer RNA (tRNA) molecules are approximately 80 nucleotides in length. Their secondary structure includes four short double-helical elements and three loops (D, anti-codon, and T loops). Further hydrogen bonds mediate the characteristic L-shaped molecular structure. tRNAs have two regions of fundamental functional importance: the anti-codon, which is responsible for specific mRNA codon recognition, and the 3' end, to which the tRNAs corresponding amino acid is attached (by aminoacyl-tRNA synthetases). tRNAs cope with the degeneracy of the genetic code in two manners: having more than one tRNA (with a specific anti-codon) for a particular amino acid; and 'wobble' base-pairing, i.e. permitting non-standard base-pairing at the 3rd anti-codon position.
Source: Rfam by way of RNAcentral
AGCGUCUUGGAGCAGUGGCAGCUCGUUGGGCUCAUAACCCAAAGGUCUCCGGAUCGACACCGGAAGACGCUA